This 440-nucleotide ribosomal RNA is filed under the name uncultured bacterium. RNAcentral's name for it is "partial 16S ribosomal RNA". It matches the Rfam family "Bacterial small subunit ribosomal RNA", at positions 338 to 795 of the family's 1533-position model. The record is from RNAcentral.
CCUACGGGUGGCUGCAGUGGGGGAUAUUGCACAAUGGGGGAAACCCUGAUGCAGCAACGCCGCGUGUGGGAAGAAGGUUUUCGGAUUUUAAACCACUGUUCAUGGUGAAGAUAAUGACGGUAACCAAGGAGAAAGCUCCGGCUAACUACGUGCCAGCAGCCCCGGGACUACGGAGGAAGCAAGCGUUAUCCGGAUUUACUGGGUGUAAAGGGUGCGUAGGCGGUCUUGCAAGUCAGACGUGAAAACCAUAGGCCCAACCUGAGGACUGCGGUUGAAACUGUGGGGCUUGAGUAAAGUAGAGGUAGGCGGAAUUCCCGGUGUAGCGGUGAAAUGCGUAGAGAUCGCGAGGAACACCAGUGGCGAAGGCAGCCUACUGGGCUUUAACUGACGCUGAGGCACGAAAGUAUGGGUAGCAAACAGGAUUAGAUACCCGUGUAGUC